GGACAAUAUAUACAGUUAUAGUAAAUGUUAGCUCUCAAACAAAUCAUCUUAAAUCAGAGGACAAAUUAAAUGUUAUCCUCCAAAAUGAGAAGGAACAAACAAGCAGUACCUUGGUAUCUGACACAGCCACAGUGUUUAUGUCCAUGUAACACAUUAACGUCCUGUCAGAGAGCUAGGUCUACAUGACCGGUUGAGUCAGUAGACACUAGUGAUCACACACACAGUGUUAACCUCAGGUAGAGUUGCCGAAGAGAAGCCUUAGCCAUCUAAACAGGCCUAAUAUCCUCACAUGGUUCUUCCACUGUAGCUUAGUUCACAAGGACUAUAAGCUCUGUAGUGAUUCUACCACUGUAGGUUUGUAGACAGGGACUAGACUCUGUAGUGAUUCUACCACUGUAGGUUUGUAGACAGGCACUAGACUCUGUAGUGCAUUGUGAUCAGCUAUCUAAACAGACCUUAUAUCCUCCUGUGGUUAUUCCGAUGGAGCUUUGUCCGCGAGGACUAUAAACUCUUUAGCGAUGCUACCAAAGUAGCUUUGUCUACAAGGACCACUUUCAUGAUUCUACCAAUUAGAUGGAUCUUAAUUGGCAUGUCAUUCUUUUUCAUAAAGGAGGAGAACUGGAGAUAAACACAUCAUCCAGGAAACAUCUGUGUUUGGCUAAACUAAGCAAAAUUGAACACAAUGCCUCUCUAAAAACUCCCGGACAUUUCAUUCUAUUUUCAUUGGAGUGGAGAGCCUUCUAGUUCGCCUGUCAGUGCUUCUAGACCGUUACUACUAUCCUUGUUCUCUUCUUCCACCACUACCAUUGCUUACUUCUGCUAGUCUUCAUUAAAGUGCUGCAUCUCUGGAUCGUACAAACUGAAGCCACAAUGAGAAAAAUAACAGUGAAAUGGGGUAGGUUGCCUGCCUUUUCUAUAGCUGCGAUGCAACAGAUAAUACAUAAUUCAAUUUAAAUGUAUUGAGAACCUGAUGUUCCUCUGUCUGGGGAAACAAUGGAGAGGUUUGUCUGUGCCAAAAUGGUUAAUAAGUCCUAUCAAAACUCAAAAAGGCCCAAAUCUAAAUAUUUAUUUUGUCUUGACAGUAUUUCGCCUCUACUAGCAGCGAAAACAAAAAUCAUCUGGCAGUAUUCUGUGGAACACAUGGACCUGGCCUUCCAUAGAUACAUCGUCUGUCUACCUGUCCUGUCAUUAUUGUCAAACAUGAAUAGAAAAGUGUUCAAUGUCCUUAAUCUGCUGUAGCUCCUGCAUUUUCUUCAUGAAAAUGUCAUUGUGGAGGAAGGAAAUCUCUCCAAAUGUUUUGGCACAGUUUCAUUUCCCAUCUUGAUUGCAAAUUGUUGGAGAGGGAUUCCCCUGUACUGUACGUAGAAGGGGGAGAGACAUUUUGGGGUGGAUGCCCCUGUACUGUACGUAGAAGGGGGAUAGACAUUUUGGGGUGGAUGCCCCUGUACUGUACGUAGAAGGGGGAGAGACAUUUUGGGGUGGAUGCCCCUGUACUGUACGUAGAAGGGGGAGAGACAUUUUGGGGUGGAUGCCCCUGUACUGUACGUAGAAGGGGG
Oncorhynchus tshawytscha (Chinook salmon) is the source of this 1556-nucleotide long non-coding RNA. Lineage: Eukaryota; Metazoa; Chordata; Actinopteri; Salmoniformes; Salmonidae. The record is from Ensembl.